GUCUACGGACAUGCCACCCUGAACAAGCCCGAUCUCGUCUGAUCUCGGAAGCUAAGCAGGGUCGGGCCUGGUUAGUACUUGGAUGGGAGACCACCUAGGAAGACCAGGUGCUGUAGGCA
Molecule: ribosomal RNA, 119 nt
Filed under: Pteropus alecto (black flying fox)
Lineage: Eukaryota; Metazoa; Chordata; Mammalia; Chiroptera; Pteropodidae
Source: RNAcentral